CCUACGGGUGGCUGCAGUGGGGAAUAUUGGACAAUGGGGGGAACCCUGAUCCAGCCAUGCCGCGUGUGUGAAGAAGGCCCUCGGGUUGUAAAGCACUUUCAGUGAGGAAGAACGCCUGGUGGUUAAUACCCAUCAGGAAAGACAUCACUCACAGAAGAAGCACCGGCUAACUCCGUGCCAGCAGCCGCGGUAAUACGGAGGGUGCGAGCGUUAAUCGGAAUUACUGGGCGUAAAGCGCGCGUAGGUGGCUUGAUAAGCCGGUUGUGAAAGCCCCGGGCUCAACCUGGGAACGGCAUCCGGAACUGGCAAGCUAGAGUGCAGGAGAGGAAGGUAGAAUUCCCGGUGUAGCGGUGAAAUGCGUAGAGAUCGGGAGGAAUACCAGUGGCGAAGGCGGCCUUCUGGACUGACACUGACACUGAGGUGCGAAAGCGUGGGUAGCAAACAGGAUUAGAUACCCUUGUAGUC
Molecule: ribosomal RNA, 465 nt
Filed under: Vreelandella stevensii
Lineage: Bacteria; Pseudomonadati; Pseudomonadota; Gammaproteobacteria; Oceanospirillales; Halomonadaceae
Description: partial 16S ribosomal RNA
Rfam family: Bacterial small subunit ribosomal RNA
Source: RNAcentral